Suillus placidus is the source of this 87-nucleotide non-coding RNA. Lineage: Eukaryota; Fungi; Basidiomycota; Agaricomycetes; Boletales; Suillaceae. The record is from the annotation of a GenBank genome assembly.
UCUCUGGUAGUAUGAUAUCGGAUAGUACACCCGCCUGUCAUCACAAGAUGGAUGCAGGAAAGCGGGGUUCGAUUCCCCGCCAGAGAG